GAUGAACGCUGGCGGCGUUCCUAAUACAUGCAAGUCGAGCGAACAGACGAGGAGCUUGCUCCUCUGACGUUAGCGGCGGACGGGUGAGUAACACGUGGAUAACCUACCUAUAAGACUGGGAUAACUUCGGGAAACCGGAGCUAAUACCGGAUAAUAUAUUGAACCGCAUGGUUCAAUAGUGAAAGACGGUUUUGCUGUCACUUAUAGAUGGAUCCGCGCCGCAUUAGCUAGUUGGUAAGGUAACGGCUUACCAAGGCAACGAUGCGUAGCUGACCUGAGAGGGUGAUCGGCCACACUGGAACUGAGACACGGUCCAGACUCCUACGGGAGGCAGCAGUAGGGAAUCUUCCGCAAUGGGCGAAAGCUUGACGGAGCAACGCCGCGUGAGUGAUGAAGGUCUUCGGAUCGUAAAACUCUGUUAUUAGGGAAGAACAAAUGUGUAAGUAACUAUGCACGUCUUGACGGUACCUAAUCAGAAAGCCACGGCUAAAUACGUG
This 497-nucleotide ribosomal RNA is filed under the name uncultured bacterium. Its description in RNAcentral is "partial 16S ribosomal RNA". It matches the Rfam family "Bacterial small subunit ribosomal RNA", at positions 28 to 507 of the family's 1533-position model. The record is from RNAcentral.